RNAcentral lists this ribosomal RNA (462 nucleotides) under uncultured bacterium. RNAcentral describes it as "partial 16S ribosomal RNA". It matches the Rfam family "Bacterial small subunit ribosomal RNA", at positions 32 to 507 of the family's 1533-position model. The record is from RNAcentral.
AACCAACGCUGGCGGCGUGCCUAAUACAUGCAAGUCGAACGGGGAAAGCUUUCGGGUGAGUACUAGUGGCGCACGGGUGAGGAACGCGUGGAUAAUCUGCCUUAGAGUGGGGGAUAACUAGUCGAAAGAUUAGCUAAUACCGCAUAAGACCACGAGAGCUGCGGCUUUUGAGGUCAAAGGUUUAUCGCUCUAAGAUGAGUCCGCGUAAGAUUAGCUAGUUGGUGAGGUAACGGCUCACCAAGGCGACGAUCUUUAACUGGUCUGAGAGGAUGAUCAGUCACACUGGAACUGAGACACGGUCCAGACUCCUACGGGAGGCAGCAGUAGGGAAUAUUGCACAAUGGAGGGAACUCUGAUGCAGCGACGCCGCGUGAGUGAUGAAGGCCUUCGGGUCGUAAAGCUCUGUCGCAGGGGAAUAACACAAUGAAGGUACCCUGUAAGAAAGGAUCGGCUAACUUCGUG